This 833-nucleotide ribosomal RNA is filed under the name uncultured bacterium. RNAcentral describes it as "bacterial SSU rRNA". It matches the Rfam family "Bacterial small subunit ribosomal RNA", at positions 31 to 866 of the family's 1533-position model. The record is from RNAcentral.
AGACGUUGGCGGCGUGGNAUUAGGCAUGCAAGUCGUGCGAGNAAGUUUGCCUUCGGGCAGACGGACAGCGGCGAAAGGGAGAGUAACGUGUGGAUACCUGCCCCCGGAUCCGGGAUAGCCAGCCGAAAGGCGGGGUAAUACCGGAUAAUGUCUCCGGACCAAAGGUGUGAUUCCGUCUGGGGAUGGGUCCGCAUCCUAUUAGCUUGUUGGUGGGGUAAUGGCCUACCAAGGCUGCGAUGGGUACCGGGCGUUAGCGCGUGGCCCGGCUCACUGGGACUGAGACACUGCCCAGACACCUACGGGUGGCUGCAGUCGAGAAUCUUCGGCAAUGGGCGCAAGCCUGACCGAGCGACGCCGCGUGCGGGAUGAAGGCCUUCGGGUUGUAAACCGCUGUCGGAGGGGAGGAAAUCCUGAGGGGCACUCUCCUCAGGUUGACCUAUCCUCGGAGGAAGGACGGGCUAAGUUCGUGCCAGCAGCCGCGGUAAGACGAACCGUCCAAACGUUAUUCGGAAUCACUGGGCUUAAAGGGUGCGUAGGCGGCCGUUCAAGUCGGGUGUGAAAGCCCUCAGCUCAACUGAGGAAUUGCGCCCGAUACUGUUCGGCUUGAGGAAGGCAGAGGUGAGCGGAAACUUGCGGUGGAGCGGUGAAAUGCGUAGAUAUUGGGGAGAACACCCAGUGGCGAAGGCGAUUUUCCAGGUUGUUUCUGACGCUGAGGCUCGAAAGCGUGGGGAGCGAAGCGGAUUAGAUACCCGCGUAGUCCACGCCCUAAACGGUGGACACUAGNAUAUGGGAGGUAUCGGACCCCUUCCGUGUCGAAGCUNACGCUUUAAGUU